Molecule: ribosomal RNA, 756 nt
Filed under: uncultured Tremellodendron
Lineage: Eukaryota; Fungi; Basidiomycota; Agaricomycetes; Sebacinales; Sebacinaceae
Also listed under: 1 other name
Description: eukaryotic LSU rRNA
Rfam family: Eukaryotic large subunit ribosomal RNA
Source: RNAcentral
GAAUCCUGUAUAUGGCAUGGACUACCGUUACUCUGUGAUACACUCUCGACGAGUCGAGUUGUUUGGGAAUGCAGCUCCAAAUGGGUGGUAAAUGCCAUCUAAAGCUAAAUAUUGGCGAGAGACCGAUAGCGAGCAAGUACCGUGAGGGAAAGAUGAAAAGCACUUUGGAAAGAGAGUGAAACAGUACGUGAAAUUGUUGAAAGGGAAACGCUUGAAGUCAGUCGCGCCGUUCGGGAUUCAGCCUUGCUUCUGCUCGGUUUACUUCCCGUUGGGUGGGUCAACAUCAGUUUUGGUCGGAGGAGAAAGGCUUGGGGAAGGUGGCAGCAUUCGUGCUGUGUUAUAGCCCCUUGUUGUAUACUUCGACUGGGACUGAGGACCGCAGCACGCCUUUGGCCGGGGUUCGCCCACGUACGUGCUUAGGAUGUUGGCAUAAUGGCUUUAAGCGACCCGUCUUGAAACACGGACCAAGGAGUCUAACAUGUGCGCGAGUGUUUGAGUGUUAAACUCAGACGCGAAAUGAAAGUGAAAAGUUGGGAACACUCAUGUGUGCACCGACGCCCGGAGCUGACCUUCUGUGACGCAUCUGCGGUAGAGCGUAUAUGUUGGGACCCGAAAGAUGGUGAACUAUGCCUGAAUAGGGUGAAGCCAGAGGAAACUCUGGUGGAGGCUCGUAGCGAUUCUGACGUGCAAAUCGAUCGUCAAAUUUGGGUAUAGGGGCGAAAGACUAAUCGAACCAUCUAGUAGCUGGUUCCUGCC